CCGCGACAGCCACGGCUAGUGUGUCUUUCGCGCUCCAGCAGCCUGCAGGCCGGGCUGCCGCCGGCUUAUUAGUCAAAAUGCAGCGUGGUGCCUUCGUGGGGCCUCCGGCUCCCGCUCUUCACCUGCAGUUGCUGCCUGCCCUCAAGUUUCGAGGCGACCCUGUGACCUGAAGACUGGUGUUCAUCCCUGUUGGAUGAAGAGUGAUGGCUCACAUUCAAGGGGAAGGUAGGUGACCGUUGGCCUGUGACAACGACCUUAUGGAACGUCUGACCUCUGUCCAAGCCCAGGUUACCAACCAGCCCAGUAUCCAGAGGUGGCGUUAGAUCAUCUGAGAGAUCUGAUCACCAAAUGGUACAGUGACCUUACCAGACAGACCAGUAUCCUCAACCUUGUAGGAGAUGCUAAGAGAUCAGAAAAAUGCUGGAAUGGAAGGCUACUCUGCAUCCUCCAGAGGCAUUCACACAAUCAUGGAGAUCUACAGCUGAUCAAGCUCAGGGCCUCACAGCACUGAGUACUCCCCCACUGCUCUCCUAGUUCAUGAAUUUGGGAGGGAGGGGGUGUGUUUGGUUCCCUAAAGUAAAAUUAAAGGGACUUUGGAAUUUGAAAAUAAACUCUUGACUUGUGU
This is a long non-coding RNA of Erinaceus europaeus (western European hedgehog), 625 nucleotides long. RefSeq lists it as uncharacterized. The record is from RefSeq and is a predicted model, not a curated record. The transcript is spliced from 4 exons. NCBI's taxonomy places the organism in Eukaryota, Metazoa, Chordata, Mammalia, Eulipotyphla, Erinaceidae.